UCGACUCGUCCGGCGCCGUACCCCGCGGCCAGAUCGUCCAGCUGACCUUCACCUCGUCUUGGGGGGACCGGCAGCAGCUCGGUCUGACGGCACUGGAAAUAGUGCGGGAAAACCAGCAGGUGGUGCCUCUGAAGACCUCCUACCUGACUGCAUCGACAGCCACAGCGACACUGCCGAGACUGCUGGACGAGCAGCGCGUCAGCUGUGAUCCGGAGCACAUGUGGCUG
This is a long non-coding RNA of Pollicipes pollicipes, 227 nucleotides long. RefSeq lists it as uncharacterized. NCBI's taxonomy places the organism in Eukaryota, Metazoa, Arthropoda, Thecostraca, Pollicipedomorpha, Pollicipedidae. The transcript has 3 exons. The record is from RefSeq and is a predicted model, not a curated record.